AUAAAUAUCAGUCAGAAACAUUUCCUGGCAGCAAAGGAGGCCACAGCAUCUUGGGCAGCAUGAACAGGAGCACAACCAGGAAAUGGAGGGAAGCGAUUAUUCCCCUCUACUCAACACUCAUUAUAGCCCCUCUAGAUAUUGCAUCCAGUUGGGGAUCCCUGUAGAAGAAUACUAUUGAUGACGUGCAGUGAGUCCAGUGGCAGGCCUCCAAGGUUGUUUGGAGCUGCAGCACUUGCCCUGUGAGGAAACAGGGCUUGUUCAGCGCAGAAAAGGGAAGGUUUGGGGAAGGACUCAUAGCAGCUUCCCAACUCAAGGUUGCCACUGAUAAUGAACMAGGUUUUUAAAGGAAUUCAUGGCAGGAGAAUGACAGGCAAAAGUUAUAAGCUGAAAGAAGUGCAGUCAAAAUUGUAUAGAAGGUAGAAAAAUCAAUGAGGACCAUGAAGCAUUUGAAGUGGGGUCCAGAGGGGUUAUGGACUCUCUCUUCUUGGAGGCUUGCAGGAUGCAGCUGGACAAAAAAAAAAAAAAAAUCGGAGAAAGGCCUGCAAGUAAUUCUGGGCAACAUUUCCUAACAGGAGGAUUGCAUGGGAGCAGCGAUCAUGGAGCUGGAGACAGCAGGACCUCAUGUCCCAGGCAGAGGGAGAAGCCUGCCUGCAACUCAGAAGUCUGGUUCCUUCCCCAAUGCUGAAUAGACCCAGCAAAUCCUCUACACACCAAGGACAACCAGCAUUCUCCUAUUCGGUGCCCUGACAAUUUGAGACACGGGGAAGGACUCAGGCAAGGGCAUCUCACCUGGUGAAACCAGUUGCCCCCAGGCCCUGCGACACCCCGCGUUGCCCCGCGCUGCCGCUCACAACAUGGCCCCCCACCGCAGGGGAGGGGAGGGGGCUG
RNAcentral lists this long non-coding RNA (888 nucleotides) under Apteryx haastii (Great spotted kiwi). Its description in RNAcentral is "lncRNA (ENSAHAG00000004770.1)". The record is from RNAcentral. Lineage: Eukaryota; Metazoa; Chordata; Aves; Apterygiformes; Apterygidae.